UAAACAAUAAAGAGAAAGAGAGAGAAAGAAAGACUUUUUUUAAUCCUUACUUUACGUGUAAUGUAACAUAGUCAUUUUUUUUUUUUCAAUUGGGAGAGAUGGCUGAGUGGACUAAAGCGGCGGAUUGCUAAUCCGUUGUACGAGUUAUUUGUACCGAGGGUUCGAAUCCCUCUCUUUCCGUUUCCUUGGAUGACUUGAUAUUUGAUUUAUCUUCUAAAUUAUAUACCCAAAAAAUCGAACAAUGAACUUUGUUGAUCCAAAAGUCCUAAAAGCCUAUAACAUACCCAAAAUACCCUUUGAUUACACAAAUUGAGUUAAUUCAUGGAAUAGAUCAUAUUUGUAACUUCUCAAUUUGUGCUCUUUCAUAAAAAUGCUUACAAAGUAAUUUAAUUUGUUUAGUAUAAAAUUAUAAUUUGUUGAUUGUUGCGGGCAAUUGGGUCUUUUAUUGAUUUGUUGAUUAUAAUGAUAAUUUUUCACUUUUAGUAUGUAGUGAAUUUUGUUAAUAAUGAAAACUUCUCAAUUUUUUCUCAAAUAUAUAUCAUAUUGAGGAUUUUCCAAUUUCUUGCAAUAUGUUGAGAAUUUUCAAGUAAAUUUUGAUAACUUUUCAAUUUCAAUUCUCUUUUGAAUUUGGGAUUAAGUUGUUAAAUUGAUAUGUUCUCAAUUUUCGUACUUGCUAAAUCCUCACAAAUUAUAUGUUCUUCACUUUCAAAUUUU
RNAcentral lists this long non-coding RNA (714 nucleotides) under Actinidia chinensis (golden kiwifruit). RNAcentral describes it as "long non-coding RNA (ACHI_LNC004314)". The stretch from base 93 to 180 matches the Rfam family "tRNA". The record is from RNAcentral. Lineage: Eukaryota; Viridiplantae; Streptophyta; Magnoliopsida; Ericales; Actinidiaceae.